RNAcentral lists this ribosomal RNA (301 nucleotides) under uncultured bacterium. RNAcentral's name for it is "partial 16S ribosomal RNA". It matches the Rfam family "Bacterial small subunit ribosomal RNA", at positions 509 to 807 of the family's 1533-position model. The record is from RNAcentral.
CAGUCGCCACGGGAAUACGUAGGGCGCAAGCGUUAUCCGGAAUUAUUGGGCGUAAAGAGCUCGUAGGCGGUUUGUCGCGUCUGCCGUGAAAGUCCGGGGCUCAACCCCGGAUCUGCGGUGGGUACGGGCAGACUAGAGUGAUGUAGGGGAGACUGGAAUUCCUGGUGUAGCGGUGAAAUGCGCAGAUAUCAGGAGGAACACCGAUGGCGAAGGCAGGUCUCUGGGCAUUAACUGACGCUGAGGAGCGAAAGCAUGGGGAGCGAACAGGAUUAGAGACCCGGGUAGUCCCUGUCUCUUAUAC